Molecule: non-coding RNA, 1280 nt
Organism: Coturnix japonica (Japanese quail)
Lineage: Eukaryota; Metazoa; Chordata; Aves; Galliformes; Phasianidae
Source: RefSeq, a predicted model, not a curated record
AACAAAAAGCUGAGAGCAAUAAACUAAAGAGCUGAAAAAAUCUACAGUGUAAAGAAGUAAUUCAAAGAACAAGGAAGAAAGAAAUACGAGAGGAGGAAGGGAACAAAGAGAGGACAAGGGAAGCAGAACAAGGGAAGCAAAUGUCCUAUCAUUCUAUAGAUAGCAUUGUGUGUCUAUAUGUAAACCAGGUUGCUGAUGACUAACACAAUAGACUGUUCCUAGCAUACUGAAAUUGUCACUUGACCACUUCAUUGUCUCGUGUUUUGCUUUCGCCUGUCCUAUAUUUUUCUUUCUUCCUUUUUCUUUCUGUCUGUAAUUCCUAUUUGCUGUCUAACACCAUAAUAUUUAAAAGCCUCUGUCUACCCUUUGCUGCCAAUUGCUAUUGUUUUUGCCUUGCUACAGCUAAGCUCAUUGAGUUGCUUUGGAAAGAGCUCAAACUCCUAUCCAAACCUCUGGAGGCGGCACAACAAAGCAGAGAGAGACUGCAGCCAGCAGUGAGAGAAGCCUGGGCCAAAGGAAGUGUACAAAUCCUGUAUCAUUAUCAUUUGUGAUCGACACUAACACCAUGAGUAGUGUGCCAGUUGCAACAAUAAAAAGGAGAAAAAAAGUACUGGCUGGAGAUGCUGAUUUUCUAUGUCGUGCUGGAGUCCCAUGGCCCCUGUGAAGUUUGGCUCCCUGUUGUACUAUUCUUCCAGAAGCAGAGAAGAAGAAACAAUCUCUGUGCCAAAGAGCUUGCAACCAACAGAUACAACUCAAAAUGAAUGAGACAUAUCAAAGUAGAACCUUCUCAGAAGAGAGAAUGUGAUGAAGGAAAAGAAUGAGAAAUUUUGGGGGGAAAAAAAAAAAAAGUGAAAAAAAAGAAAAGCAAGUAAAGGUGAAAACAAAGAUCUAAUACAGGUACGUGGAAAACCAUUUUGAAUAGAUUUAUUAAGGUAAGUUUGAUUGAACUCUCUCUCCCUCCCCCAUUCUGAUCAAUUUUUGGUACUUAAGAUGCACAGAAUUACAAUUUGCUACUUGUUUUUGUUUGUUUGUUUGAUUGAUUUUGUCUGUGUGAGAGUACUUUGUUAUCACAGAAUCGUGGUUUAGCUUAGAUUGAAAAAGAUAUUAAAAGCCAUCCUGUUGCAAACUCUGCCAUGGGCACAGUUGCCGCUCACCAGAUAGGACUGCCCUGUGCCCCACCCAACCUGACCUUGAAUACGAUUAGAGCUGGGGCAUUCAUACCUUCUAUGGGCAGCCUGUGCCACCACCUCACCACCCUCUGGGUAGAGCAUUUCCUCCUA